This 234-nucleotide ribosomal RNA is filed under the name uncultured bacterium. RNAcentral describes it as "partial 16S ribosomal RNA". It matches the Rfam family "Bacterial small subunit ribosomal RNA", at positions 28 to 263 of the family's 1533-position model. The record is from RNAcentral.
GACGAACGCUGGCGGCGUGCUUAACACAUGCAAGUCGAGCGGUAAGGCCCUUUCGGGGGUACACGAGCGGCGAACGGGUGAGUAACACGUGGGUGACCUGCCCUCAGCUCUGGGAUAAGCCUGGGAAACCGGGUCUAAUACUGGAUAUGACUCCAUGACGCAUGUUGUGGGGUGGAAAGCCUUGUGCGGCUGAGGAUGGGCCCGCGGCCUAUCAGCUUGUUGGUGGGGUGACGC